GCUGAAGCUGGGAGCAUGAGGCAGGCAAGCAGAGAGGGGCUGCUGGAUUGUAAUCCUGUUUGUGUUUCUUUGCAGGUACACAGAGAAUGAGCGGACAACCCAAAAGAGCAACCAUACUUGAACCUGAUACAGAAGCUUAUGCAAAGGGGUGAAGGUAUUUGAUGAGGAGAACUAUGUGGUCAGAGUGGUGGUGAAGAUUGCUUUGCCAGCAGGAUUUUGGAUGGGCUGGCAUGGAGUGAAUUAAGAAGCUAAAGGCAAGAAGGAUGCAGAUUUCAGUAGCUGAGGUGGGAACUGACCGAGACACAGGUGGGGGAAAAGAGUGAUAUUCACAUUGCAAUUCAGUCAAGAAGAACUGCAAAACAAUCAAUGAUGUGAUCCAUGGCCAGAAAGGGUUAAGCAUCCUGCAAGAUAAAUGACCUGAAUUCAACCUCUAGGAACAUAUUGGUAGAAAAUGUUUGUGUUUUGUGUGUUUACAUAUAUAUUGUUAGAGGUUAACAAUGUAACAAAACUGUUCCUGUCUAUGCUGUAUUCUGUUAAUUCAUAUAUCAAAGAGAUCUUAACAUUCAAAUGAACUGUAAAUAUAGUGAUAUCACUGUAUUGAUCUCUCUUUGAAAUGUAUAGCAAAUCACCUGCGAACGGUGGAAAACAGGCAAUUGCCUUAUGUUAAUCCUUGUAGCUAAUUACUGAUGAUGCUUAGGAAAUAAGCCUACUUCAAAGUCUCAGUGAUUGCUUAUUGCUCACCUAAGAACUCCGAGCUGUCAAGAGAAGGCCUAGAACUAUAUAAAAAAAAACUUUUGGGGCAUGAUCCUUUUUAUUUCAGAUUUGCUUGAUGCUUUACACAGGGGAAGCUUGAGUCCUACGACUGAGAUCUCCAGUCCAACCAGGAUCACCCUGAAUAUGAACGUUGGACUAUAUCCUAUGGACAAAUUCUGAAAGAGCUCUGCAACUACAAAGCUCACCAUCUGUACUAUAAAACUGAUCUCAGAACUGUACUCAUGUCUCUAUGCAUCUUUUAACCAAUACACACUCUCUUUUCUAAUACAUUUUAGUUUAGGUAAUAAGAAUUGGCUGUAGGCAUGUAUAUGGGUAAGAUCUGAAAUAUUCAUUACCUUGGGAGAUAAUGUGUCCAAUCCUUUGGGACUGGUAUAACUUUCUUCUAUGAUGAAUAAGAUUUUCAGUAAUCCUCAUCAUAUUUGACUUGGUUAUCUGCGUGGAAGCCCAAGGCUGGGUUGCUUUAAGGGAACUGUGUUGGCUUCUGGGUAACCAGUAAGGUAUUACAAAAGCUGUUUUCAAAAUCUAAGUAUUGGAAUAUGCACCAGCUUUGGGGAUUGUCUAUCCCAUUCUUUACAGAUUGCCCUAAUUGAAUAACCUCAGUGUG
Gopherus flavomarginatus (Mexican gopher tortoise) is the source of this 1378-nucleotide long non-coding RNA. RefSeq lists it as uncharacterized. Lineage: Eukaryota; Metazoa; Chordata; Testudines; Testudinidae. The record is from RefSeq and is a predicted model, not a curated record. The transcript is spliced from 3 exons.